CGGGGGCGCGGGCGCGAAACCUUUACACUGCACGCACGUGCGAUAAGGGGACUCCGAGUGCGAGGGCAUAUCGUCCUCGCUUUCGUGUACCGUAGGGUGGUACACCAACAAGGGCUGGGCAAGACCGGUGCCAGCCGCCGCGGUAAUACCGGCAGCCCAAGUGAUGACCGAUCUUAUUGGGCCUAAAGCGUCCGUAGCUGGCUGCGCAAGUCCGUCGGGAAAUCCACUCGCCCAACGAGUGGGCGUCCGACGGAAACUGCACAGCUUGGGACCGGAAGGCUCGAAGGGUACGUGCGGGGUAGGAGUGAAAUCCUAUAAUCCCGCACGGACCACCGAUGGCGAAAGCACUUCGAGAAAACGGAUCCGACAGUGAGGGACGAAAGCCAGGGUCUCCAACCGGAUUAGAUACCCGGGUAGUCCUGGCCGUAAACAAUGUUCGCUAGGUAUGACACAGACUACGUGUCUCUGUUGUGCCGUAGGAAGCCGAGAAGCGAC
Molecule: ribosomal RNA, 495 nt
Filed under: uncultured archaeon
Lineage: Archaea
Description: bacterial SSU rRNA
Rfam family: Archaeal small subunit ribosomal RNA
Source: RNAcentral